CGGAGGAAGGCGGGGACGACGUCAAGUCAUCAUGGCCCUUAUGCCUAGGGCUGCACACGUACUACAAUGGGCCGGACAAAGCGACGCAAGACCGCGAGGUGGAGCAAAUCGCAAAAACCGUCCCCCAGUUCAGAUUGCACUCUGCAAUUCGAGUGCAUGAAGUUGGAAUUGCUAGUAAUCGCGGAUCAGCAUUGCCGCGGUGAAUGUGUUCCUGAGCCUUGUACACACCGCCCGU
This 235-nucleotide ribosomal RNA is filed under the name uncultured Planctomycetota bacterium. RNAcentral describes it as "uncultured planctomycete partial 16S ribosomal RNA". It matches the Rfam family "Bacterial small subunit ribosomal RNA", at positions 1164 to 1397 of the family's 1533-position model. Lineage: Bacteria; Pseudomonadati; Planctomycetota. The record is from RNAcentral.